GGUUUCCUCUGUAAGCAUCUCUAAAGAAAUCAAACGCCUUGUUUGAAAGUUUUAAUCACUAAUAAUGCUACACGUAAUGCAUGACUACUAAAAAAGAGACACAGCCCAGGCAGUCUGUCAUGUAUUUGAUGCUCCACUGCGGAUCACCAUUUACCCCUUUUGAUUCUUAGGUCUUACCCAAAGCAAAAAGGAAGAGAAUUUCAUUUUUUUUUUUUUUAAAUGAAGCUUGUUAAACAAUGUAGUUUGAGUCUGAAUAUGCAUUUUCUGAUCACUGACGACUCAGCUCUUCAGAACUUGCUUUGAUCUAAGUUACCAGAUGAAGCAAGACCUUCGUUCUCUGAAUAUUUUGCCUUAAACAUUCAGAGCUGGGGUCAGUUUUCUUCUCCUCAUCACCUAAAAACAACGGUUGUGCAUUUCACCACUGUAUCUGCUGUCUGAUUCCUAUUUAGCAUCCAGAAGUGAAGAACCAGACCGAGGCACCAGAUUUCCUCCAUUUGAAAGGAAAUCAUUCCAACUGCCUGGAAGUGGCACAUCAGUGGUUACUGUGAGGUAGAGGAGUGUCAACCGCUCUUCAGGACUUACCUGUGCUCUUGCUUUUUAUGCCUGUAGGAGAUGAAAACUCACUGCUCUUCCACUCAAGGCUGAACUACCAAGUGGUAGCUUUCAUCCACUGUGUGGGGAAAAAGCAUAUGCAUGGGCACAUCGUGUAACACAGUCCUACCCUUUACUUCAUGGCCACUUCAGGCAAACUCAAGGAUUUAGCUUGGGUCUGAGAGACGGGUUUGGUCUCCAAGCAGACCAAAUACCACCCCCCCACCCUUUUUUGUAUGGUUGUUGUUCAGAGUACCCAAGGUCAGUAAUUCCCUGGAGCUGACUGUUCCCUGAAAUGAAGUAUCCUGGCCAGAGGUCAUGUCAUUCCCAUACACUCCCAGUUCCUCUUCUCUGUCAUAAUGGAAAUGUGAAGAUAUCAAUUUGUAAAUUUUAACAAUUGGAAGAAAAAUGCCGAACUUUGAAUGAGUGGUGCUGGGAAUUAGCACCUGGCCACUAAGGAGAGCUGAUGUGGAUAAACUCUGUACUAGGGAGUAACCAAAGAGCAAUGCUGGCGUGACCUGCAAGCUCUGAGUACAGAUGUGUUGUCUGAUGCUUUCUUCUUUACAUACAUGUAGGGGAGGGGGGGGAGUAGUAAUUAGUUUAACUACUGUAACAGCACCUUUCAUGGUGGUGAUACCAAGAAGUCUCCAAGGUAGAAGGAAAAGACUAAGAACUCAACAUGGCUCAUCAAACCACCACUCAGUUAAAUAUAUAAACUGAAUAUAUUAAAGCUUCGAAUUUUAUUACAAUCAAUUCCUUCU
Molecule: long non-coding RNA, 1352 nt
Organism: Gavialis gangeticus (Gharial)
Lineage: Eukaryota; Metazoa; Chordata; Crocodylia; Gavialidae
Exons: 2
Source: RefSeq, a predicted model, not a curated record